Molecule: ribosomal RNA, 230 nt
Filed under: Chloropicon mariensis
Lineage: Eukaryota; Viridiplantae; Chlorophyta; Chloropicophyceae; Chloropicales; Chloropicaceae
Description: partial Bacterial large subunit ribosomal RNA
Rfam family: Bacterial large subunit ribosomal RNA
Source: RNAcentral
GUAGGACCACGAUGUCGCAUGACAUCUUGCGAGCAGAACAUUCUGGAAAGUAUGACCACAGACGGUGACAGUCCGGUAUGCGAAGCAAGACGAAGCGUAGUGGUAUCCUGAGUAGCGCGGGACACGAGGAAUCCUGUGUGAAUCUGCCGGGACCAUCCGGUAAGGCUAAAUACUCCUGAGAGACCGAUAGUGAACCAGUACCGUGAGGGAAAGGUGAAAAGAACCCCGGG